UUUAUUUGCCGAACAAAUUUU
Molecule: non-coding RNA, 21 nt
Filed under: Caenorhabditis elegans
Lineage: Eukaryota; Metazoa; Nematoda; Chromadorea; Rhabditida; Rhabditidae
Source: RNAcentral